RNAcentral lists this ribosomal RNA (347 nucleotides) under uncultured bacterium. RNAcentral's name for it is "partial 16S ribosomal RNA". It matches the Rfam family "Bacterial small subunit ribosomal RNA", at positions 338 to 682 of the family's 1533-position model. The record is from RNAcentral.
CCUACGGGUGGCUGCAGUGAGGAAUAGUGGUCAAUGGACGCAAGUCUGAACCAGCCAUGCCGCGUGCAGGAAGACGGCGCUAUGAGUUGUAAACUGCGUUUGUACGAGGGUAAAUCACGAUACGUGUAUCGGGUUGAAAGUAGCGUACGAAUAAGGAUCGGCUAACUCCGUGCCAGCAGCCGCGGUAAUACGGAGGAUUCAAGCGUUAUCCGGAUUUAUUGGGUUUAAAGGGUGCGUAGGCGGUUCGAUAAGUUAGAGGUGACAUCCCGGGGCUCCACUCCGGCACUGCCUCUGAUACUGUCGGGCUACAUUUUAGUUGCGGUAGGCGGAAUGUAUGUUGUAGCCGU